CAAUCGGCCCUUUUCAGGGCCAACAAUAAUUUAAAACGUUAAACA
This is a non-coding RNA of Nasonia vitripennis (jewel wasp), 45 nucleotides long. The record is from Rfam. Lineage: Eukaryota; Metazoa; Arthropoda; Insecta; Hymenoptera; Pteromalidae.